UGGGGAAUAUCUGCGCAAUGGGGGGAACCCUGACGCAGCCAUGCCGCGUGAAUGAAGAAGGCCUUAGGGUUGUAAAGUUCUUUCGGUAUUGAGGAAGGUUGAUGUGUUAAUAGCACAUCAAAUUGACGUUAAAUACAGAAGAAGCACCGGCUAACUCCGUGCCAGCAGCCGCGGUAAUACGGAGGGUGCGAGCGUUAAUCGGAAUAACUGGGCGUAAAGGGCACGCAGGCGGUUAUUUAAGUGAGGUGUGAAAGCCCCGGGCUUAACCUGGGAAUUGCAUUUCAGACUGGGUAACUAGAGUACUUUAGGGAGGGGUAGAAUUCCACGUGUAGCGGUGAAAUGCGUAGAGAUGUGGAGGAAUACCGAAGGCGAAGGCAGCCCCUUGGGAAUGUACUGACGCUCAUGUGCGAAAGCGUGGGGAGCAAACAGGAUUAGAUACCCUGGUAGUCCACGCUGUAAACGCUGUCGAUUUGGGGGUUGGGGUUUAACUCUGGCGCCCGUAGCUAACGUGAUAAAUCGACCGCCUGGGGAGUACGGCCGCAAGGUUA
Molecule: ribosomal RNA, 548 nt
Filed under: uncultured bacterium
Lineage: Bacteria
Description: bacterial SSU rRNA
Rfam family: Bacterial small subunit ribosomal RNA
Source: RNAcentral